GAUGAACGCUGGCGGCGUGCCUAAUACAUGCAAGUCGAGCGAACGGACGAGAAGCUUGCUUUUCUGAUGUUAGCGGCGGACGGGUGAGUAACACGUGGAUAACCUACCUAUAAGACUGGGAUAACUUCGGGAAACCGGAGCUAAUACCGGAUAAUAUUUUGAACCGCAUGGUUCAAAAGUGAAAGACGGUCUUGCUGUCACUUAUAGAUGGAUCCGGGCUGCAUUGGCUAGUUGGUAAGGUAACGGCUUACCAAGGCAACUAUGCAUAGCCGACCUAAGAGGGGGAUAGCCGACACGGGAAGGGAGACGCGGACCAGACUCCUACGGGAGGGAGCAGUAGCGAACGGGCCGCAAUGGGCGAAAGCCUGACGGAGCAGCGGCGAGCGAGUGAUGAAGGUCUUGGGAGCGUAAAACUCGGUUAUUAGGGAAGAACAUAUGUGUAAGUAACUGUGCACAGCGUGACGGUAACUAAUCAGAAAGCCACGGCUAACUACGUG
RNAcentral lists this ribosomal RNA (497 nucleotides) under uncultured bacterium. Its description in RNAcentral is "partial 16S ribosomal RNA". It matches the Rfam family "Bacterial small subunit ribosomal RNA", at positions 28 to 507 of the family's 1533-position model. The record is from RNAcentral.